Long non-coding RNA from Columba livia (rock pigeon), 1843 nucleotides. RefSeq lists it as uncharacterized. The record is from RefSeq and is a predicted model, not a curated record. Lineage: Eukaryota; Metazoa; Chordata; Aves; Columbiformes; Columbidae. The transcript has 2 exons.
AGCUGAAACCAGAACAGGACACUCAUUAGCACCCACUUGCCAUCAGAACCAGCAGGGGCUGUUUCCAUUACCCACCCCUCACGUUUUGGAAUGACCUUGCUAGUGCCCACAGAGGGAAAAUAAAGGGCUAUACAGGUCUUGGAGGUCUGGAUGUGGCUCAACAAAGCACCUGCAUGUGUGCUGAAGGGAAUAAGCAAACCACCUGUGGAGCGAUGGGGGAGCCUCUGCCCAGACCUUGUUGUGAGAAGGGGCACUGUUUGGUCCAUCCUCCAGGGACGAUGGGAACCACAAAGUGAGUCCAGGGUAAAUGCAGCCAAUCUCCCUGGCUCCCUGACCACACAUCUGCCAUUCUCCCCAAAACCUAGCAUGUCCUUGCCUUGCUUUUCCUUUUGUACCCUGAUGCUUCUCCCUCUCUGCUCUUGGCCACUGCAGCUAGAAUAAGCUAUCAUGUCUUGCUUCCAGAUUCUGCAUGAGCAGAAAAGAUGUGGGCAACUCACAGGGCAUGCACGCUCAGCAGAUCAGAGUGCUUCCAAGAGACUCCUUGCCAUCUCCGUUCUUGCCCCUCUUUUUGAAGGCAGUACCCAUGCCAGUGCUGGCCAGCUAGCUGUGACAGGGACUGGGCUCCUGGCAGUCAGUGUCAGGGAGCAGCAGUGUCCACUGAGCCCAUGCCAUCAGCUGUGAGCCGGAAACGAGCCCUGAGCUCACAUCCUCAUCCGGAGGAAACAUUCCUGAACAUCUGGAGGACCUGAACAUCUGGAAAUCCUCCCUUAGCAGUGGGAACACAUCAGCUGUGCUCACAGCCUUUGGCUCAAAAAGCAACAGAGGAAAACCAGCUGCCCACCUCCACCUUCAGUGAGACCCUCUUAGCACCAUCUCUGGACAAAACACACUUCUCUUUAGGACUCCAGCAGUUGUCCAGGUGCUUGGGAGACUCCCAAAAGAUAUUAAGGGCAAUGUUCAUGCAGGUUUUUCUCCCACGCCCCGGUCCCAGAUGUCCUCAGACAUACAUCUCCCGGGUGCGCUCAUCCCCAAUUGCCUCUCUCUCUCUACAUUUCUGCCAGAGAAGGAGCUGGUUACACCCAGAUGUUCCCAGGUGCUUGGCUUAAGGCCACCCAGCUCAUGCAGGGACAUUGACAGGAGCUCUCCCUCACUAUUAUCCAUCAGGAUUGCAUGAUUUAAAUAAGCUCAUCAUUUAGAAAAAAAACAACCAAACAAAAAACCCAACAAAUAAAAACAAAACCAAAACAAACCCCACAAACACACACAAAAAAAGAAGAAAAACAGGCAAGUGAAUGUGGACAAUCUGAAAAACACUGUUCCUGGCUCCAGCACAUACAAUUUAUAAAAGCAAAAUAUUCCCCUUAUGGCUAACUCUCAACAUUGCAUCAGUUCUGAAUAUCCCAGGGGAUAUAUCUAAUGUGGAAAACUCUUCUGAGGAACACAGGACUUUCACAGUGAAAUAGGUCUGCUCUGAAACUUUAGGACAAGGCAAUUUACAUGAGUGCAUUAGGGGGUAAAAUGCUCAACCCAGCUCUUCAUCUGAACUCUUCUAGGGCCAGUCUGGUGAAUGCGUGGUGAGCCGCAUACCUUGAACACCAGUUUAACUCCUCUUUCAGAGGGGCAGCAUGGGAAGAAGCUUUCCCAGGGAAAGCACGACAAAACACCUAUUUUUUUAAUUCAGUUCUGUAGAAUGUUGUCCCACAAAAUGAGGGAGAAAAAUAAACCGUCGUUUCCUCCUACACACUUCCUCAGAACAGUGGUAAUUUUGACUUACCUAUGUUUUGACAGAAAAAUGCUAUUUCAGUCAAAAAGGUGUUUCAUUAAAAAAUACCCAUUGCUGAAA